RNAcentral lists this ribosomal RNA (253 nucleotides) under uncultured bacterium. RNAcentral's name for it is "partial 16S ribosomal RNA". It matches the Rfam family "Bacterial small subunit ribosomal RNA", at positions 524 to 776 of the family's 1533-position model. The record is from RNAcentral.
GACAGAGGGUGCAAACGUUGUUCGGAAUUACUGGGCGUAAAGCGUGUGUAGGCGGCCACGUAAGUCUGAUGUGAAAGCCCACGGCUCAACCGUGGAGGGUCAUUGGAAACUGGGGGACUUGAGUACAGAAGAGAAGAGUGGAAUUCCACGUGUAGCGGUGAAAUGCGUAGAGAUGUGGAGGAACACCAGUGGCGAAGGCGACUCUUUGGUCUGUAACUGACGCUGAGGCGCGAAAGCGUGGGGAGCAAACAGG